UUUUAAUUUAACACUUAAAAGUUAGAUUUCUAAGUAUCCUAUAUAUUCUUCCAAUUAUCUCUAAUUUCUACACAUAUUUAACCGUAUUUUUUGAUUUUUUUUCCAAUUUGUAUUCUUCAUUGUCGGCGAUAAAGUGCGGUUAUCGUUGUAUACUGCGCGGUAACCACGGUAAAACCGCAAAACUGUUAUUUUUUUAAUACGAUUUUUGUGCGGUUUUUCGUGGUUAUCGCGUGAAAACCGUGGUAGCCGCGCUGCCACGGGGUGGUGGUAACCCCGGGCCAAACGAUAUGGGGAACCUGGCCGGCGUCACGUUGCAGCCUCGCCGCGGCUGCUGAGGUUCGAGUUGAGGGCACGCUGCAGGUGACGGCGGGGGUGCUGCCGUGGCUACUUCGUGCGCUCGGCAGCUCCGUUGGUGGAAGGAGCAGCUAAAAUCUGCAGCGAAGAAGAUGACGUCCUCAUUCAUCGCCAAGCCGUCGCCAUCCCCAUCUCUUAUGCAUUCCCUAUUCUCCUCAUCAUGCCAAACAAUUCUUCUUUUGAUACCGUCUUAUUUCAUCUACUGCAGCGAUGAGAAUGCCGCCAUGCCAUUGUCGGCUCUAGAGCACGCACCGAGCGCUACCACCAUGAUGUUGCCGCUGUUUCCGGCCGUUGUGAACCACCCCAGACCGGGCCACCAUGCCAUCGUGACCACCACAGCUUUCUCUCGAAGACCCCCAAAAAUCCCCAAGAAUCAUGCACCGAGGUGGGAGAUUGACAUCGUCUUCCUCACCUUUGGCCGCCGCUUCCCCUUUCCGAUUCCGAUUCCCCUUUCUGAUUCCGUCCAAUUCCUUGGGCGUGAGCCUUCCUACUAGCUCUACUAAUCUUGUGCGCACGCUUCCUUGGUAGACCUUGGGCCGCUUAUCGCUAUCGACGUCGUUCUGUCAUUUCUGCCGGUGCCGGAGCCAUUACUCCCGUCGCCGCUGUUGUCCAAUCUUCGCCAGCCCGCGCACGACAUCAGGUUUCUCGAUUCUAUUGUCAACGUCGAAAUAAGAACAACACGGGCACAGGUCUGUCCCAGACGUUCACUUCUGAGAGGCGUAUACCACAAGGAUACAGGGGAAAUUUGAUUCCAGUUUGCAAAUGCUCACGUGGAACACGAAGAUGGACGAGUGAUCAAAAUCAAACGUCGAAACAGGAGCCAACACGAUAAGCAUUCAGUAUACAUGCAUACGAUAAGAGUCUGAGGCAGCUGGUUUCCGCGACAAGGGAAACCUCUGUGAAUGUUGCACGCUUAGCAUCGCCAUAGAAAUUCUCAAAUAUACGGAGUACUCCAUAAUUACAUGCGCAUUUCCUUGCCAGCAAAGUGAUUAUUUUUUACUAAUACUAGACUAAGUA
This is a non-coding RNA of Oryza sativa Japonica Group (Japanese rice), 1371 nucleotides long. The record is from RefSeq and is a predicted model, not a curated record. Lineage: Eukaryota; Viridiplantae; Streptophyta; Magnoliopsida; Poales; Poaceae.